RNAcentral lists this ribosomal RNA (548 nucleotides) under uncultured bacterium. RNAcentral describes it as "bacterial SSU rRNA". It matches the Rfam family "Bacterial small subunit ribosomal RNA", at positions 365 to 908 of the family's 1533-position model. The record is from RNAcentral.
UCGGCAAUGGGCGAAAGCCUGACCGAGCGACGCCGCGUGUGGGAUGAAGGCCCUCGGGUUGUAAACCACUGUCAACGGGGAGGAAAUACAGAAGGGCUAUCCCUUUUGUUUGACCUAUCUGUGGAGGAAGUACGGGCUAAGUUCGUGCCAGCAGCCGCGGUAAGACGAACCGUACAAACGUUAUUCGGAAUUACUGGGCUUAAAGGGUGCGUAGGCGGCGCGGACAGUUGGGUGUGAAAGCCCUCGGCUCAACCGAGGAAUUGCGCUCAAAACUACCGUGCUCGAGGGAGACAGAGGUAAGCGGAACUCAAGGUGGAGCGGUGAAAUGCGUUGAUAUCUUGAGGAACACCGGUGGCGAAGGCGGCUUACUGGGUCUUUUCUGACGCUGAGGCACGAAAGCCAGGGGAGCAAACGGGAUUAGAUACCCCGGUAGUCCUGGCCCUAAACGAUGGGUACUGGGUUGCGGGUCGGACAUAGACUCGCAGCCGAAGCAAAAGUGGUAAGUACCCCGCCUGGGGAGUAUGGUCGCAAGGCUGAAACUCAAAGGA